RNAcentral lists this ribosomal RNA (395 nucleotides) under uncultured bacterium. RNAcentral describes it as "partial 16S ribosomal RNA". It matches the Rfam family "Bacterial small subunit ribosomal RNA", at positions 362 to 775 of the family's 1533-position model. The record is from RNAcentral.
UAUUGCAGAAUGGGGGAAACACUGAUGCAGCGACGCCGCGUGAGCGAAGAAGGCANUCNNGUCGUNANGCUCUGUCCUAAGGGNNNNNACGGACGGGACACUAGGAGGAAGCCCCGGCUAACUACGUGCUAGCAGCCGCGUUAAUACGUAGGGGGCGAGCGUUAUCCGGAAUUAUUGGGCGUAAAGGUUGCGUAGGCGGCCUUUUAAGUCAGAUGUGAAAGGCUACGGCUUAACCGUAGUUAGCAUUUGAAACUAAAAGGCUUGAGUGCAGGAGAGGAGAGUGGAAUUCCUAGUGUAGCGGUGAAAUGCGUAGAUAUUAGGAGGAACACCAGUGGCGAAGGCGACUCUCUGGACUGCAACUGACGCUGAGGCACGAAAGCGUGGGGAGCGAACAG